GCGCGAAAACUUUACAAUGCGGGCAACCGCGAUAAGGGGACCUCGAGUGCUGGGUUACAAACCUGGCUGUUGGGCUGCCUAAAAAGCAGUCUAUAGCAAGGGCCGGGCAAGACCGGUGCCAGCCGCCGCGGUAACACCGGCGGCUCGAGUGGUAACCGCUGUUAUUGGGUCUAAAGGGUCUGUAGCCUGCCGGCUAAGUCUCUUGGGAAAUCUGGCAUCUCAAGUGUCAGGCUGCCAGGGGAUACUGGUCGGCUUGGGACCGGGAGAGGUGAGAGGUACCUCAGGGGUAGGGGUGAAAUCUUGUAAUCCUUGAGGGACCACCAGUGGCGAAGGCGUCUCACCAGAACGGAUCCGACGGCAAGGGACGAAAGCUAGGGGCACGAACC
Molecule: ribosomal RNA, 386 nt
Filed under: uncultured bacterium
Lineage: Bacteria
Description: bacterial SSU rRNA
Rfam family: Archaeal small subunit ribosomal RNA
Source: RNAcentral